GUAGGGGGCAAGCGUUAUCCGGAUUUACUGGGUGUAAAGGGAGCGUAGACGGCAUCACAAGUCAGAAGUGAAAAUCCGGGGCUCAACCCCGGAACUGCUUUUGAAACUGUGGAGCUGGAGUGCAGGAGAGGUAAGCGGAAUUCCUAGUGUAGCGGUGAAAUGCGUAGAUAUUAGGAGGAACACCAGUGGCGAAGGCGGCUUACUGGACUGUAACUGACGUUGAGGCUCGAAAGCGUGGGGAGCAAACAGGAUUAGAUACCCUGGUAGUCCACGCCGUAAACGAUGUCGACUUGGAGGUUGUGCCCUUGAGGCGUGGCUACCGGAGCUAACGCGUUAAGUCGACCGCCUGGGGAGU
This 355-nucleotide ribosomal RNA is filed under the name uncultured bacterium. RNAcentral's name for it is "bacterial SSU rRNA". It matches the Rfam family "Bacterial small subunit ribosomal RNA", at positions 527 to 881 of the family's 1533-position model. The record is from RNAcentral.